GGGUUGUGAGGUUAAGCGACUAAGCGUACACGGUGGAUGCCCUGGCAGUCAGAGGCGAUGAAGGACGUGCUAAUCUGCGAUAAGCGUCGGUAAGGUGAUAUGAACCGUUAUAACCGGCGAUUUCCGAAUGGGGAAACCCAGUGUGAUUCGUCACACUAUCAUUAACUGAAUCCAUAGGUUAAUGAGGCGAACCGGGGGAACUGAAACAUCUAAGUACCCCGAGGAAAAGAAAUCAACCGAGAUUCCCCCAGUAGCGGCGAGCGAACGGGGAGCAGCCCAGAGCCUGAAUCAGUGUGUGUGUUAGUGGAAGCGUCUGGAAAGGCGUGCGAUACAGGGUGACAGCCCCGUACACAAAAAUGCACAUACUGUGAGCUCGAUGAGUAGGGCGGGACACGUGGUAUCCUGUCUGAAUAUGGGGGGACCAUCCUCCAAGGCUAAAUACUCCUGACUGACCGAUAGUGAACCAGUACCGUGAGGGAAAGGCGAAAAGAACCCCGGCGAGGGGAGUGAAAAAGAACCUGAAACCGUGUACGUACAAGCAGUGGGAGCACGCUUAGGCGUGUGACUGCGUACCUUUUGUAUAAUGGGUCAGCGACUUAUAUUCUGUAGCAAGGUUAACCGAAUAGGGGAGCCGAAGGGAAACCGAGUCUUAACUGGGCGUUAAGUUGCAGGGUAUAGACCCGAAACCCGGUGAUCUAGCCAUGGGCAGGUUGAAGGUUGGGUAACACUAACUGGAGGACCGAACCGACUAAUGUUGAAAAAUUAGCGGAUGACUUGUGGCUGGGGGUGAAAGGCCAAUCAAACCGGGAGAUAGCUGGUUCUCCCCGAAAGCUAUUUAGGUAGCGCCUCGUGAAUUCAUCUCCGGGGGUAGAGCACUGUUUCGGCAAGGGGGUCAUCCCGACUUACCAACCCGAUGCAAACUGCGAAUACCGGAGAAUGUUAUUACGGGAGACACACGGCGGGUGCUAACGUCCGUCGUGAAGAGGGAAACAACCCAGACCGCCAGCUAAGGUCCCAAAGUCAUGGUUAAGUGGGAAACGAUGUGGGAAGGCCCAGACAGCCAGGAUGUUGGCUUAGAAGCAGCCAUCAUUUAAAGAAAGCGUAAUAGCUCACUGGUCGAGUCGGCCUGCGCGGAAGAUGUAACGGGGCUAAACCAUGCACCGAAGCUGCGGCAGCGACGCUUAUGCGUUGUUGGGUAGGGGAGCGUUCUGUAAGCCUGUGAAGGUGUGCUGUGAGGUAUGCUGGAGGUAUCAGAAGUGCGAAUGCUGACAUAAGUAACGAUAAAGCGGGUGAAAAGCCCGCUCGCCGGAAGACCAAGGGUUCCUGUCCAACGUUAAUCGGGGCAGGGUGAGUCGACCCCUAAGGCGAGGCCGAAAGGCGUAGUCGAUGGGAAACAGGUUAAUAUUCCUGUACUUGGUGUUACUGCGAAGGGGGGACGGAGAAGGCUAUGUUGGCCGGGCGACGGUUGUCCCGGUUUAAGCGUGUAGGCUGGUUUUCCAGGCAAAUCCGGAAAAUCAAGGCCGAGGCGUGAUGACGAGGCACUACGGUGCUGAAGCAACAAAUGCCCUGCUUCCAGGAAAAGCCUCUAAGCAUCAGGUAACAUCAAAUCGUACCCCAAACCGACACAGGUGGUCAGGUAGAGAAUACCAAGGCGCUUGAGAGAACUCGGGUGAAGGAACUAGGCAAAAUGGUGCCGUAACUUCGGGAGAAGGCACGCUGAUACGUAGGUGAAGCGACUUGCUCGUGGAGCUGAAAUCAGUCGAAGAUACCAGCUGGCUGCAACUGUUUAUUAAAAACACAGCACUGUGCAAACACGAAAGUGGACGUAUACGGUGUGACGCCUGCCCGGUGCCGGAAGGUUAAUUGAUGGGGUUAGCGCAAGCGAAGCUCUUGAUCGAAGCCCCGGUAAACGGCGGCCGUAACUAUAACGGUCCUAAGGUAGCGAAAUUCCUUGUCGGGUAAGUUCCGACCUG
This 1973-nucleotide ribosomal RNA is filed under the name Shigella flexneri. RNAcentral's name for it is "partial 23S ribosomal RNA". It matches the Rfam family "Bacterial large subunit ribosomal RNA", at positions 1 to 1990 of the family's 2925-position model. RNAcentral also lists the same sequence under 1 other name. The record is from RNAcentral. Lineage: Bacteria; Pseudomonadati; Pseudomonadota; Gammaproteobacteria; Enterobacterales; Enterobacteriaceae.